Molecule: unclassified non-coding RNA, 1492 nt
Filed under: Hevea brasiliensis (rubber tree)
Lineage: Eukaryota; Viridiplantae; Streptophyta; Magnoliopsida; Malpighiales; Euphorbiaceae
Source: RNAcentral
AGAGAAGGAAAAGAUAGAGAUGAUGAAAGCUGUUAGCUUCAUGUAUGUUCGUCCACCUGGUUAUAAUGCUGAAAGUGCCAAGGCUGCAGAGAUUGCUGAUGAGAGGAAAAGAGAUGAACAGGAUAAUCCUUCUCAGCACCCACAUGCUGAGGGAGCCUCCUCUACAAUGCUUCUAGAAUCAAUUCCUAGCAGAGAUCCCUUGGGAGAAGAAAAGAAGAAACCAAGGCCUAAAGAUGUUUUUGGUCGUCCGGUUCCAACUGAAGAAGAGUUUGAAGUCCUCAAAAAUGCUCCACGGAUGGAGACAGGUGUUCCUGCAAGGGUGAAGCCAUUUGGUAUUGAAGUACGCAAUGUGAAAUGUAUAAGAUGUGGCAAUUAUGGUCACCAAAGUGGUGAUCGUGAAUGUCCAUUGAAAGAUGCUAUAAUGCCUAAUGAAGAGAGCCGAUUAAAAAGAGAUGAUCCCUUGACUGCCAUCAUGGCUCACAUGGAUCCUGCUGAGCCAUUAAAAUGGGAGUUGAAGCAAAAACCAGGAAUGAGUCCUCCUCGUGGCGGUUUCAAUCUAGAUGAUCCCAAUCAGCAAAUUGUUGCUGAGGAUAUAUUUGAUGAAUAUGGAGGGUUUCUCAGUGGUGAUAUCCCAGAGUUGCUGACCAACUUUUCCCCAAAGAAAUCUAGAAAGAAGUCAAAAAAGUGUAAACACAAGAGGGAUUCAUCACCGAGUAGAGAAUUUAGGGCUCCUGAAGAAAGUGGGUUGUCUUCACCUUCUGAUGAUAGAGAGAGGAGAUCAAAGAAGUCCAAGAAGAAGCUGAACCAUGCUGAAUCACCUUCAUUUGAUGAUUUGAACUUUGAUGGGCAUUCCAAGAAGAGCAGACACAAACAUUCUAAUUCAUCUAAAAAUUCUGAUGGGGACAGGCAUAAGAGGAGUAAAAGGAGCAGUUAUAAACAUUCUUAUUCUUCUGAUUCUGAUGGCCGCGACAGGCAUCAUAGAAGUACAAAGGGCACGCAAAAGCAUUCUAAUUUGUCUGAAGAAUCUGAUUCUGAUGAGCAUCACAGAAGUAAGAACCCAAGGAUGAAGCAUCAAUCUUCAUUUGAACAUUCUUCCCUUGAUAGGCAUCACAAAAUUGAAAAGAAGCAGAGGCAAUCUUACCAACAUUCAUAUGAUAAUUUUGAUUUUGAUGGCCAUCACAAAGGUAAACACCGUCCUCACAAUCGUCNAUCAUCAUUAAUCUCGUUUUUCGUCAAAUUGAGUUUGCAGGUGUCUUACCUUGCCAUUGAAAGUACAGGAAGAGCAAACUUUAAAGAAGCCUGUAAUCCACUCACGUGAAGUUGUUCUAAUGUGUCAGAAUGCUCAAUGUCAAUGCUUUAUUUUGAGUACAAUUAGGUUCACUUUUGUCAAUCUGUAUCAUAUGGUGGUUAGGAGCAUUCAAAUUAAGGAGCAUCAUAUUUAGUCGAGUCAAUACAAUGUAAUAAAUAGACUUCCCUGGCGGGACAAAGAUUC